Selaginella moellendorffii is the source of this 386-nucleotide long non-coding RNA. RefSeq lists it as uncharacterized. The transcript has 5 exons. Lineage: Eukaryota; Viridiplantae; Streptophyta; Lycopodiopsida; Selaginellales; Selaginellaceae. The record is from RefSeq and is a predicted model, not a curated record.
GGUGGUGCCACUCAUUGCUUCCAAGAGUUCAAGCAGCAUCAGAGGAGCAUCACCAGCAGCCAAAACAUCGACUCACGUGAAUUGAAAUCUAUCAAAACUGUGGAUGUGCUAGUAAUGGUUCAAAACCGAGGAGUCUAUACGCUCGCCACUCAUCGCUUCCAAGUCAAUUACAAAACAAGGGAGUUCAGCAAGCACCAGAGGAUCAUCUGGUUCUCAAAAAAGUGUUGCAUGAUUGUCUGGUUCUAGUGAGGUGAAAAGGCUACGUGUUGGAACUGUAUCUUCGAAGCAUUAAGGUCUAUUGAAAGUAAAAUGGAUGGAAGGUAUGAUGGAUUGGAAAUGUCAGAUCGCAGUUAGAAGAAGAGGAACAUAACCGUUAGUUCACUGAG